GGGGAAUAUUGCACCAAUGGCGAAAGCCUGAUGCAGCAACGCCGCGUGAGUGAUGAAGGCCUUCGGGUUGUAAAGCUCUGUCUUUUGGGACGAUAAUGACGGUACCAAAGGAGGAAGCCACGGCUAACUACGUGCCAGCAGCCGCGGUAAUACGUAGGUGGCAAGCGUUGUCCGGAUUUACUGGGCGUAAAGGAUGCGUAGGCGGAUUUUUAAGUGAGAUGUGAAAUUCCCGGGCUUAACUUGGGAGCUGCAUUUCAAACUGGAAGUCUAGAGUGCGGGAGAGGAAAGUGGAAUUCCUAGUGUAGCGGUGAAAUGCGUAGAGAUUAGGAAGAACACCAGUGGCGAAGGCGACUUUCUGGACCGUAACUGACGCUGAGGCAUGAAAGCGUGGGUAGCAAACAGGAUUAGAUACCCUGGUAGUCCACGCCGUAAACGAUGAGUACUAGGUGUAGGAGGUAUCGACCCCUUCUGUGCCGCAGUUAACACAAUAAGUACUCCGCCUGGGAGUACGAUCGCAAG
This 519-nucleotide ribosomal RNA is filed under the name uncultured prokaryote. Its description in RNAcentral is "bacterial SSU rRNA". It matches the Rfam family "Bacterial small subunit ribosomal RNA", at positions 356 to 892 of the family's 1533-position model. The record is from RNAcentral.